Molecule: long non-coding RNA, 1181 nt
Organism: Nothoprocta perdicaria
Lineage: Eukaryota; Metazoa; Chordata; Aves; Tinamiformes; Tinamidae
Exons: 4
Source: RefSeq, a predicted model, not a curated record
UAGAAACCUUCAGUAAAGGUUCAGUAAAGAAGAUAACAGAAGAGACUCAAUGAUUAUCAUAGAAACUGGGGUCAGCAUCAAUAAGGAUCCCUGGCGUGACUUCAUUUCUUGAACUUCAGCGUAAGAGAGACACUACCAAAUCCAGCUGUGGAUUGCACCAAGUCAUGGAGUAGGCGCAGGGAUUUCUAAUGCCUGGGACUGUUGGUGCUAAGAUCAGUCAUAUUGCGCUGUAAUGACUCUGUGGAUGAAGCCUCUUAACCUGUGUGUGUGUGAAAUCUGGGGUGGCUGAUGCUAUCCAAGUCAUCUCAGUGACUGCACCUAUUGUAUGGGCUGUAACUUAAAGCAGAUCUUGACUUCAGUGUAGUUUUCAGAAGAAGACAUGUUUACAGCAGACUGUGCUGCAGACCCUGCAGACUGUGGAAACCUACAGGCCUUAGGCUAUGAACAGCACAGGUGGAGGAAAARCUUUAUAAGAAGGUGAGAUAGUCAGAGUCUCCACAUUCACACACUCCUUACAAUGAUAUCUUAAAGGUUGUUUCUUACCUCUCUCUAAAUUAUUUGCUCUGGACAACUGGUGGGGAUAUUUUUUUUUCCCUUCAUUUCAGGCCUUAUUUCCAAGGAAGAGUCUUCGAAGACAUUCAGUGUGAGCAGACUUAUUAGCUACUGUACACUAGGCCAAAUAAAUACUUUUGGUGAUAUAUAUUAUGUAUAAAUACAAGGUUUAAAUUCAAAUAUAUAAACCAGACAAAUUGAUUUUCCUUAAGACAGAAAUAUUACURUUCUUUACUGUGUGUAUUUUCAUGUGAUUUUAGAUAUCAGAUCUGCUUGGAACCACCUGCCCUAUUGGUGAGUCUGUUGUCAAAUAGGACAAUUUUAGUAUUAGAUUAAUUAUUAUGAAGUCUUUGACUUCCAAAAAGCACCUCCUUCUCCUGAUAAACAAUAGUUCCAAAGAAGAAUUUGGGAUUUAUGUGUCUUUUCAUAGGUAGUAUUUUGAAGGGAACAUGAACUAAAGAAGUAAAAAAAUMGGAGAUAACAAAUGUGACCAAACACCAGCAAGUGGCAGGGACAUCGGAUGUGGAGCAGUGCCAGUGGCCUGGAUCUUGUUGGAUCCCAGUCUCACCACAGAGAUCAGAUCAGAGAGCCACCGAGGGGCUGAGGUUGGAGACCAUCUAGUCCAGCCC